Molecule: ribosomal RNA, 402 nt
Filed under: uncultured Magnetospirillum sp.
Lineage: Bacteria; Pseudomonadati; Pseudomonadota; Alphaproteobacteria; Rhodospirillales; Rhodospirillaceae
Description: bacterial SSU rRNA
Rfam family: Bacterial small subunit ribosomal RNA
Source: RNAcentral
UGGGGAAUAUUGGACAAUGGGCGCAAGCCUGAUCCAGCCAUGCCGCGUGAGUGAAGAAGGCCCUAGGGUUGUAAAGCUCUUUCGCACGCGACGAUGAUGACGGUAGCGUGAGAAGAAGCCCCGGCUAACUUCGUGCCAGCAGCCGCGGUAAUACGAAGGGGGCUAGCGUUGUUCGGAAUUACUGGGCGUAAAGCGCACGCAGGCGGUUUUCCAAGUCAGAAGUGAAAGCCCUGGGCUCAACCCGGGAAUUGCUUUUGAUACUGGGAGACUUGAAUCACGGAGAGGGUAGUGGAAUUCCGAGUGUAGAGGUGAAAUUCGUAGAUAUUCGGAAGAACACCAGUGGCGAAGGCGACUACCUGGCCGUCGAUUGACGCUCAUGUGCGAAAGCGUGGGGAGCAAACA